This 90-nucleotide ribosomal RNA is filed under the name Pleurotus tuber-regium. RNAcentral's name for it is "partial 5.8S ribosomal RNA". It matches the Rfam family "5.8S ribosomal RNA", at positions 65 to 154 of the family's 154-position model. From Rfam's summary of the family: 5.8S ribosomal RNA (5.8S rRNA) is a component of the large subunit of the eukaryotic ribosome. It is transcribed by RNA polymerase I as part of the 45S precursor that also contains 18S and 28S rRNA. Functionally, it is thought that 5.8S rRNA may be involved in ribosome translocation. Lineage: Eukaryota; Fungi; Basidiomycota; Agaricomycetes; Agaricales; Pleurotaceae. The record is from RNAcentral.
AUGUGAAUUGCANAAUUCAGUGAAUCAUCGAAUCUUUGAACGCACCUUGCGCCCCUUGGUAUUCCGAGGGGCAUGCCUGUUUGAGUGUCA